CAUACACUGACGGAGCGAGCGAGUACUCCCUUGGUCGGAAGUGUGAGUUAAUCUUGUUAAACUCCGUCGUGCUGGGGAUAGAGCAUUGCAAUUAUUGCUCUUCAACGAGGAAUCCCUAGUAAGCGCAAGACAUCAGCUUGCGAUGAUUACGACCCUGCCCUUUGUACACACCGCCCGUCGCUACUACCGAUUGAAUGGCUCAGUGAGGCGUCCGGACUGGCCCAGAGAGGUGGGCAACUACCACUCAGGGCCGGGAAGCUCUCCAAACUCGGUCAUUUAGAGGAAGUAAAAGUCGUAACAAGGUCUCCGUUGGUG
This 315-nucleotide ribosomal RNA is filed under the name Hypocreaceae sp. LM159. RNAcentral describes it as "SSU rRNA". It matches the Rfam family "Eukaryotic small subunit ribosomal RNA", at positions 1497 to 1811 of the family's 1831-position model. The record is from RNAcentral. Lineage: Eukaryota; Fungi; Ascomycota; Sordariomycetes; Hypocreales; Hypocreaceae.